RNAcentral lists this transfer RNA (87 nucleotides) under Candidatus Heimdallarchaeum endolithica. RNAcentral describes it as "tRNA-Ser". It matches the Rfam family "tRNA". Rfam says of the family: Transfer RNA (tRNA) molecules are approximately 80 nucleotides in length. Their secondary structure includes four short double-helical elements and three loops (D, anti-codon, and T loops). Further hydrogen bonds mediate the characteristic L-shaped molecular structure. tRNAs have two regions of fundamental functional importance: the anti-codon, which is responsible for specific mRNA codon recognition, and the 3' end, to which the tRNAs corresponding amino acid is attached (by aminoacyl-tRNA synthetases). tRNAs cope with the degeneracy of the genetic code in two manners: having more than one tRNA (with a specific anti-codon) for a particular amino acid; and 'wobble' base-pairing, i.e. permitting non-standard base-pairing at the 3rd anti-codon position. The record is from RNAcentral. Lineage: Archaea; Promethearchaeati; Candidatus Heimdallarchaeota; Candidatus Heimdallarchaeia (ex Rinke et al. 2021) (nom. nud.); Candidatus Heimdallarchaeales; Candidatus Heimdallarchaeaceae.
GCCACGAUAUCCUAGCUCGGUAGGGAGAUUGUCUGCUAAGCAAUUGCCGUUACAGGCUCCAGGGUUCAAAUCCCUGUCGUGGCUCCA